AGCUCAAAUUUGAAAUCUGGCUCCCUCUUUGGGGGUCCGAGUUGUAAUUUGCAGAGGGUGCUUUGGCGUUGGUGGCGGUCUAAGUUCCUUGGAACCGGACAUCGCAGAGGGUGAGAAUCCCGUAUGUGGUCGCCUGCCUUCGCCGUGUAAAGCCCCUUCGACGAGUCGAGUUGUUUGGGAAUGCAGCUCUAAAUGGGAGGUAAAUUUCUUCUAAAGCUAAAUACUGGCCAGAGACCGAUAGCGCACAAGUAGAGUGAUCGAAAGAUGAAAAGCACUUUGGAAAGAGAGUCAAAAAGCACGUGAAAUUGUUGAAAGGGAAGCGCUUGUCGCCAGACUUGCCCGCAGUUGCUCACCUGGGCUCCGGCCCGGGGCACUCUUCUGCGGGCAGGCCAGCAUCAGUUCGGGCGGUUGGAUAAAGGCCUCUGUCACGUAUCUUCCUUCGGGAUGACCUUAUAGGGGAGGCGACAUGCAACCAGCCCGGGCUGAGGUCCGCGCUUCGGCUAGGAUGCUGGCGUAAUGGCUGUAAGCGGCCCGUCUUGAAACACGGACCAAGGAGUCUAACAUCUAUGCGAGUGUUUGGGUGUCAAGCCCGAGCGCGCAAUGAAAGUGAACGCAGGUGGGAACCUUCGGGUGCACCAUCGACCGAUCCUGAAGUCUUCGGAUGGAUUUGAGUAUGAGCAUAGCUGUUGGGACCCGAAAGAUGGUGAACUAUGCUUGAAUAGGGUGAAGCCAGAGGAAACUCUGGUGGAGGCUCGCAGCGGUUCUGACGUGCAAAUCGAUCGUCAAAUUUGGGCAUAGGGGCGAAAGACUAAUCGAACAUCAAUGGCA
This 828-nucleotide ribosomal RNA is filed under the name Pseudosplanchnonema phorcioides. Its description in RNAcentral is "partial 28S ribosomal RNA". It matches the Rfam family "Eukaryotic large subunit ribosomal RNA", at positions 106 to 952 of the family's 3401-position model. Lineage: Eukaryota; Fungi; Ascomycota; Dothideomycetes; Pleosporales; Massarinaceae. The record is from RNAcentral.